UAUUUAUUUUUUAGUUCUUGGCGGACACAACAUCUUUGUAUGUGGUGCUGAGGAUCAAACCUGGGCCGCACGCAUGCCAGGCGAGCGCGCUACCGCUUGAGCCACAUCUCCAGCCCCUGACUAGCAUAUUCUUCACCUCAGGCUAUCCUUUCAAAAAUAUCCUUUAUUACAACCUCUGUGGCUUUGUUUUUAUACUUUGUGAAAUGACAUACUGCAAUCUUUCUUGCUUUUCUUAAUCUGUUUCUUUUUGUAAGGUUUUAUGCAGCCUCUCCAUGCUUUGUCUGAAUUGGCCAUACUCUUUAUUACUGUGUUGCUUCUUUGCUAAGGAAAAAAAAUGAAAAUGUUAAGAGAAAUUCAACUAAGAAAUUUUGCUUUUAAUAAUCAUAGCAAAAAUUGGAAAAAUGGAAAUGCAUAUGAUAUUAGUUAUUAAUGUAUUACCUUUUGAUCCAAAUCCACCGUUUGCUUCUUGUUCUGCCAUAAUAGAGCUGGACCCUAUAAGCAAUUCUGUUUUGAUAAGUGGACAUGAGGGCUCUAGGGAAGAUGCUGAAGGACACAGGGCUUUCUCUUCCUAGAUCUAGCAUGCUUGUUUUCUUCUUAGUUCAACUAUGUGGCUGACAGUGGCAUUUAUGGGUACAUCUAGUGGUUCUCAUCCCCAAUGAGUGUCAUGGCCCUCUGUGAACAGCUUCCACAUCCCUGAAACAGUUUGCCAGUGAGUUCCACGAGCUCACCCCAGGGCAGCUUCCUGGUACAUUCUACUGCCACAUCCCCAGUUUCUCAAUGAUGCUCAGUAAUUCUGACAGAACCCACUCUGGAGGCUUCCUGAAAAUUCUACCAUCACCUCAAAGAGUGAGUAGUUCCCUCCUUCCUAGAUUUGGCUUGCAGCAGCUCAUUGGACCUCUCUACCAUUUCAUUGGUCAUGGCCACUAUGACUUCUCAAAUUUUAGGUCCCAGCUCCAGAAGGGAGGGGACUUUUCCAAAUUUAUUUCUUAGAUGGGUACUGUACACUAGAGAUAAUGGCUGCUCUCUCUAUGCUGUUCUUGUAAUAAGUACUGCUUUCUAUCCCUUCCAUAGUUAAUCUCUUACUCCUAGUUAAUAUUUAUUUUUAUUAAACAUCCCUGUUCAAAUUACUGUGUGCUUUAUUAAACAUUUUCUUUUCAGAUUACUGUCCUAUCUCCUGGCUGAUCCUUAACAGAGUAAAUCAUUGAAAAAAGAUGAAAUAAACUAGAAUACUAUGCAGGAAUUAAAAAAGAAUAAAUCAGGCUUUUGUGAAAGACCAACUGCUAUAGGAAUUGCCUCUCUCCAUAAAUAUAUAGAAAAUUUCACAAAACGUAUGAAAUAAUUAUUUACAGACCUUGUACUUGAAGCAGCACAAGACUGUGAUCUCUGAAAGAUACAAAUGAAGCUAGCUCUACAAUUUCCCCAGCCUGGAGGCAGUUUUCAGACUAUAGUACAGAGAGGGAUACUCAAAAUGAGAGUCUUGCUGAGUUGAAGAGAAAGAUAAAGAAUACAAAUGAGGCCAGAGUGCCAGAAAUUUGCAGGAUGGAGUUCUGAAAAGAGGGAUCUCCACAAAUAACUCUGGAGAUUUUUACAGGGGCCUUCAAGAGGCUUUGGCUGAGUUCUGUCUGCACAUACAUGGAAUAAAAUACAAUUAGGCCUGGAAAAGAAUCACCAAAAGCAGUAGGCCAACACUUCUUAGAAUUCCUUAAGUUCUGGGAGUUGUAGAAAAUUCCACAGAAUGGAAGAUCUAAUAUAAUAGGCUUCAGAGAGAAGAACAGACAUAUCUCAGUAGUGUAGGUAAUUAACAGACAUAUCUCAGUAGUGUAG
Molecule: long non-coding RNA, 1824 nt
Filed under: Marmota monax (woodchuck)
Lineage: Eukaryota; Metazoa; Chordata; Mammalia; Rodentia; Sciuridae
Source: RNAcentral